AGAGUUUGAUCCUGGCUCAGAACGAACGCUGGCGGCGUGCCUAACACAUGCAAGUCGAACGAGAAAUUCAGCCUUCGGGCAGAAGAGUAAAGUGGCGCACGGGUGAGUAACGCGUAGGUAAUCUAUCCUUUUAUCUGGGAUAACUCUUCGAAAGGGGUGCUAAUACCGGAUACACUUCGUUAUUGUAGGGUAAUGAAGGAAAGGUAGCCUCUGAUAUAAGCUACUGUAGAGGGAGGAGCCUGCGUACCAUUAGCUAGUUGGUGGGGUAAAGGCCUACCAAGGCAACGAUGGUUAGCGGGUCUGAGAGGAUGAUCCGUCACACUGGCACUGGAACNCGGGCCAGACUCCUACGGGAGGCAGCAGUGAGGAAUAUUCGCGCAA
RNAcentral lists this ribosomal RNA (381 nucleotides) under uncultured bacterium. Its description in RNAcentral is "bacterial SSU rRNA". It matches the Rfam family "Bacterial small subunit ribosomal RNA", at positions 8 to 371 of the family's 1533-position model. The record is from RNAcentral.